UGUGUCCUAAGUUUCAAGUUGAUUGGACUUCAACUUCAUCAAAAACUACCUUGACCAAAAACUUUAACCUGAAGCAGAACAGACAGAUGAACGAAAGGACACAGACCAGAAAACAUAAUGCCCCUCUUACUAUCGUAGGUGGGGCAUAAAAAUGCACUUGACCCUUCCUUUUAAACCUCAGAUGGUGUUGUAACAAUUAACCAAACAACAACUUAAAAACAGUUGGAAACGGCUUCAAAACACACAAAAACAAAACAAAUAACAUAGAAACAAAACACAAAGUACGAUCUGAGAGCAACAGCAGUUAUUGAAAGCUAGUUCAAAGCACACCUCAACUAAUAGAUAAAUCUUGUUAUCCAAUAAAAUUGAGAAUGGAAAUGGGGAAUGUGUCAAAGAGACAACAACCUGACCAUAAAAAAAACAAC
Molecule: long non-coding RNA, 425 nt
Filed under: Mytilus galloprovincialis (Mediterranean mussel)
Lineage: Eukaryota; Metazoa; Mollusca; Bivalvia; Mytilida; Mytilidae
Source: RNAcentral